Molecule: long non-coding RNA, 2672 nt
Organism: Glycine soja
Lineage: Eukaryota; Viridiplantae; Streptophyta; Magnoliopsida; Fabales; Fabaceae
Exons: 3
Source: RefSeq, a predicted model, not a curated record
UACAAAAUCAGCUUUCUACGUCAGGACUUCUACGCCGGUUGCAAAGAACCGUCGUAGAAGGUGAAUCGGUGGCAUGUUUGUAAUUAAGCGCAUGAGAACGACGACGUUUGCCGUUACCCGUCGUAGACAUCCAGCUGUUGUGGCAUUUCGUAAUUAGGUGGGUAAGUUACAAAGACGGUUUUUGGUGAAUAACCGUCUUUGUAUCGUUAAUGGUAGCACGGGGCAACCACCUGAGUCGGCCCACCAGAAUACAAAGACGGUGGUCUGGUGAGACCGUCUUUGUUUUUAAAGUACUUUCACGUGCCAGCCACGUGAUUUGAGGAUUCAAAAUCCAAAGACGGUUGUAUCCAGAUACCCGUCUUUGGAUUGUUGGUGGUUUCACGUGUAGGCCACGUGAUUGGAGGCGUUCAAGUACCACGACGGUCCUCUCGAACACCCGACUUUGUAUCGUUAAUGGUUUCACGUGGAGGCCACGUGAUUGGAGCCAUUAAAGUACAAAGACGGUCUUUGGCCAAAAGCCGUCUUUGUAUGGUUACAGUAUAAACACGUAAUCAUCUUCGUCAUUUAGUUACGAAGACGGUCUUGCCCUAGACCCGUCUUCGUAUUUAAUGCGUCAACAUACAAAGACGGGUUUGUUAGAAGAGCCGUCGUUGUAUGUUUUGUACAGACACGUGGCGGGCGUCAUUCAAAGACGGUCUUUUCUAGGACCCGUCAUUGUAUCCCAAAUUGUAUCACGUUUACGGCACGUGCUUGUUACUUUCUCUUACUUUGGCGCGCCGUAUCACUUCUUUGCUCCAUUUUUCGACUACUUGCCCUUACUUUGGCGCCCUAGCUACACAGACCUUCUUCUCCGACAAAGAGCUUCGUCUCCGACAAACAGCAUCUCGUGUCCGUUGCCUGUUGUUCCGUUUGCAGCCGCCGCCGACAAAGGCCCUUUGUUGUUGUUGGUUGUCUUCAUCGUGGUGUACAUCAUAGUGUUUAAGGAAGAUAAGGUGGUUCCAUAAGUGGGGUUUAAAAUCCAAAGACGAGCUUCGGGAACGGCCUGCUGCCAUCCUUCAUCAGUGGUGUCAUCCUGUGCCACAUUAUCAGUUUCGUUGAGCAUCGUUUGGUCUAUUGUGCAAGUUAGUACACUGAACUUCAUGAAACCCCCUAUGUUUAAUUUGAGCUUUAGAUUUGCUGUCUCCAUCCUUAGUUAUGUCUGUAAUUGAAUAAACUCGAAUUAUUUAUAAUGAAACAUCAACAUGUCCACUUUGAGACAUCUCAGCAAAUUAAAAUAAUAAUAAUGAAACAUCUCAACAAUUUUUUCAGGAUUGAGGGGGUGAAAAGUUCAAUUCUAGACAAAACAUAUAUAUAGACUGACACAGUUCUGAAGAGUUGUCAAUAAACGAUAACCCUACCACGUAUUGUAAUAUCUAUAAAGUAUAAACACAUUUAACGAAUAUACAUGUACCCUAAAAUUAAAAUCAAACUACAGUAGCGCAAAUAUAUAUACCUUCUUGCUUGUCUCUCAACUUCAACCAGGGUCAAUUAUGGGAAAGUCCAUCAUGCCUGCGCCAUAUUGAUCUCAAUAAUUCAAGGAAAAACCUAUAUUUUUCCAACCCUUGGAUUUCCUUCAGUCUAAUUUCACAUAUAAAUACUAUUACUCAAUUAGUAAUGGAAACAAUAUGGAGGACAUGCUGUAAAUCAUUGUCACUGCUUGUCUACCUAGAAGCUCUUCCCAGUGUUACUUUCAAAUCUUGCUUUCUUUGCAUCCAUUGUUGAGCGAAUAUAAGAGCCAUCAACCUGAACAACCGAGCUGGGAAUUAUUAGUUGUGAGGAACUUUCCCUAUUAUGACUCGCAUGGGCAUGAUCAUAAUCUAUGUAAGGAGGAUUGUAGCAAUCCAAAAGAGUUGCAGUAGUUUUAGUUAUUGAUGUAUUUGUGCUGUCUUGGACACUUCCAUCCAAAAGAGAAUUAUCUUUUCUUUCUGCAGCCACUUUCUCUGUACAAAAUCAAUCCAAUUCCUCCUUCAUUUUCUCAGUACCCUCAUUUAAUCAUUUUUCGUGCUCUCACAUACAGCCUGUUUGCCUGCCACACUCUAACACAUUCUACCUACCCCAAAAGUUCUGCGACUAAUUCUCUAACCCCCCAAAGCACCAAACUGAUCAAAAGAUUUGGUGAACAAAACAAACAAGUUGUACUUGGUAACCAUAUCCUUCCUUCUUCUACUUCUUCAAUCUGUUACAUCUCAAUUUGUUACACCUCUUAACUUUGAUGGGAUUCACCUGCUUAAAUUCAAAUACUCCAUCCUCAGCGACCCAUUAUCAGUCUUAAAGAACUGGAACUACGACGAUGUAACACCUUGUUCAUGGCAUGGUGUUGCAUGCAUGCAGUGAAAUUGGAGCCCCUGGUACCCCUGACUUUUUCAGAGUAACUAGCUUGGCCCUUCCCAAUAGCCAGCUUUUGGGUUCCAUUUCUGAAGACUUAGGCUUGAUCCAAUACCUUCGCCACAUUGAUCUUUCCAACAACUUCCUCAAUGGCUAUCUACCCAACACUAUCUUCAACUCUUCUGAACUUCAUGUACUUUCCCUCUCAAACAAUGUUAUCUCCGGUGAACUACCUCAGCUAAUUGGUAAAAUGACAAACCUUAAACUUCUCAACCUCUCCGACAAUGCCUUUGGCGGUUUGAUCCCAG